Molecule: ribosomal RNA, 460 nt
Filed under: uncultured bacterium
Lineage: Bacteria
Description: partial 16S ribosomal RNA
Rfam family: Bacterial small subunit ribosomal RNA
Source: RNAcentral
CCUACGGGAGGCUGCAGUGAGGAAUGUUGGUCAAUGGGCGGAAGCCUGAACCAGCCAAGUCGCGUGAGGGAAUAAAGCCCUACGGGUCGUCAACCUCUUUUGCCGGGGAGCCAAGGCUGGGACGGGUCCCGGCCCGGAGAGUACCCGGAGAAAAAGCAUCGGCUAACUCCGUGCCAGCAGCCGCGGUCAUACGGAGGAUGCGAGCGUUAGCGGGAGUUAUUGGGUUAAAAGGUUGCGUAGGCGGGCGUUUAAGUCAGCGGUAAAAGUUCGAGGCUCAACCCCGUCCGGCCGUUGAAACUGGGGGCCUUGAGUGGGCGAGAAGAAUGCGGAAUGCGUGGUGUAGCGGUGAAAUGCAUAGAUAUCACGCAGAACCCCGAUUGCGAAGGCAGCCUUCCGGCGCCCUACUGACGCUGAGGCACGAAAGUGCGGGGAUCGAACAGGAUUAGAUACCCCAGUAGUC